Molecule: long non-coding RNA, 2100 nt
Filed under: Oreochromis niloticus (Nile tilapia)
Lineage: Eukaryota; Metazoa; Chordata; Actinopteri; Cichliformes; Cichlidae
Description: lncRNA (ENSONIG00000028544.1)
Source: RNAcentral
AUGGUCUCCGUGCCUGCCCGGCCGGCCCCACAAGGCUACAUGUUCUGUUUUGGUUCUCUCUCUCUCUCUCCCUCUCUGCCUGGGCGGAGCUCACUGCGGGCUCCCGCCCUUGGCCCACACACCUGUCAUCAAUCACCAGUCAUCACCAGUCAUCACCAGGAGCACUACUUGAGGCUGGGACACAGAUCCUCUCAUCGCUGGAUGAUUGUGCUUAACACUUUUCCUCCCUGGACCUGUGACCUCCCCGCUGUGUGGUUGUGUGUGAGUUGGAGUAAGAGGAGGGGACGAGUGCGCAAGCGUUUUCCCCUGGAUCUUCCCUGGGACCCUUCUCCUACCCGGAUUUCCCCCACUGUACAUAUUCUGCACUUGGUGUUGUAAAUAAACUCUGUGUUGGAACUGACUACCCGCUCUGCGCUUGAGUCCCUGCACCAUUUGUGACAGAUAUAUAUAUAUAUAUAUAUAUAUAUAUACAUAUAUAUGAGUGUAAGCACAUACAGGGUAAAGCUGAAUGGAACAGACUGAUUAGAAGACCAGUUCAGUACAUUGAAAUAUUUUUCAAACUAUCUUUAUUUAAAUCUGAGAAUAGCUGACUUGAAUUUCUGUGAUUAAAAGCUUUUAUUUUGCAGCCUUAUCCUGAAAUAGCAUGAUUUUCCCUGAUAACUAUACUAUUACUGAAAAACCUGUGACCAAAACACUAAUGGUGAGCCUUCAAAAUCUUUUAUUUACAGUCUAUGGUCUGAAAGAAACCAAGGCACUGUUUACCAUCCCAGUGGUAAAACACUGUUGAGACAACAUCAUGGCAAUAAAAAUUGUACUUAUAUAGCACAUUUCAUUACAUGAAAACUCAAUGUGCUUAACAAAGAAAAUGAAGAAGCAUUAAAAAAUAAGUGUUGAGCACUUUGGGUGCUCAGUCAGAGUAGAAAAGCACCACAUGAGUACCGAGGGGGGCUGUAGCUUAAGAACUAGAGCAGGUCAACUACUAAUCAGAAGGCUGGUGGUUGGAUCCCUGGCUGCUCCCGUGUGCAUGCCAAAUAUCCUCGAGCAAGAUACUAACCCCAAAUUGCUCUCCAAUGAAUCCCUUGGAGUAAAUGUGUGUGAAUGUUAGAUAGAAAGCACUUAAACACAGAAAAAAAAGUGCUUGUGUGACGGGGUGACUGAGGCCAGUUGCUCAAGUAGAGUAAAAAAGCGCUAUAGAGGAACCAGUCCGUUAACCAUUUGUGUUCAUUUGUGUGCUUUUUGUUUGUUUGUUUUUUUUUCAGGUGAAGUGACAGGAAGACUGGUCAGAUGAGAUAAAACUGAGUAACUUGAAUUUUAAAAAACACACAUCUGGAGAAAGAUUAAAGUCCCAAUUCAACUGAAGAAGAUGAAGAGAAUUAACAGAAAGGUUGAUAUUUGAAGAGGUUUGUAGAGCUUCUGAAUGUGCUGUAGUUGCUAUCUGUUUCUUUGCCAUGUUUAGUUCUCCCUGAAGCAAUACAAGUGUUUAUCUGCUUAAUAUUUAUGAUUUAUUAAAAACCAUUCAGUUAGCCUUCACGGUAUCCAGAUGAGGACAUUGUCAACCUGAAAGAAGACAGACAAAGCCAAUCACAUUUAAGAAAUCUGUGUCGAUUUGCAAUGGCUCUUCUCUUUAGUGAGACAUGUAGACUUAAGGCCACAUUGUAGGGGUCAAGGGUACUUGCCAUAGAGUUGUUAAAAAAAAAAAAACUAGUAAAAAAAUUAAGCGAACAUUUUGCAAUUUCCCCCUAAAAACUCUUCCAUCUGGGUACGUCAAAACCCAAAAUUAACUUUCCCGAAAUCCUGGUGGAUGUUAAGAGAAUAAGAAUCCAGGUUGGGCUGAGUGUGAGAAAUGCAACAACAAUGCGAGUGAGGUAAUGACACGAGUGUUUUAGCUAAAUAAUCAUCAGAUUAAAUGCUUUAGUAAGCCAGCCUUUCAAUAUUUUCAUCCUAGCAAAAAACAUAUUACCAUCACAGUCAUAAAAGUGUCAGAAUCCCCAUUUUAGGUUCUGAAUUAAGCAACUCUCUUUAGAACUCUCAUUUUCAUCUGAAUAGUAGCAGUCAACUCAGCAAGUUAAUUGAAAAAGUAAUUGCUCCAUACUGAUUUUG